Long non-coding RNA from Brassica napus (rape), 3783 nucleotides. RefSeq lists it as uncharacterized. Lineage: Eukaryota; Viridiplantae; Streptophyta; Magnoliopsida; Brassicales; Brassicaceae. The transcript has 8 exons. The record is from RefSeq and is a predicted model, not a curated record.
UUUUAAAGGGGUUUUAAAAAAAAAUCAAAAAAAAUAAAUGAAAAAAUAGAAAAACCAAAGAACCGGUGCUAAACAAAGAGAUUUUGGAACCACUGAAAACCCCAUACGUGCCCUCUUGGUAUUGGUCGUCUCUCUCUACCUCGAUGUUUUUUUUUCUUUUUUGUUUUUUUUUUCUUUUUGGUCUCUGAGAAAUCUCGUCGUUGCUCUCCUUCUCCAAAUCCUUACAUGAAAUCACCUUGAAGGUUCGAAUUCUUUGAGUUUUUGUAUUGGUUUAAAGCUUGUGAAUCUCGUUGGAAUUGAAAUUUCGUUUUGGUGAUGAGAUUUGAGAAUGAGAUUUGAGAUUAGCUUUGAUGAUGAGAACUAAAUCACAUCUCCGACAUGGCGAUCUUCAGGAAGUCCGUUGAAGGCUGCUGUUUUGAUUAACUAGGACCCGACAGCACCUUCUCGUCUCUUAUCAACAAUGGAGACAAUGGAGGAAACAAUGGCGGCUAGGUACUGGUGCCUUUGCUUCCUGAGGAUGCCACACCUCCUUCAAUGCCUCCUUCCACCAAAUCAUUGCUAUGCGUGGUCUCAGUAUCUGGAUGAAUCAGAGAGAGAUCUGAUGAACGACUCUUUUUUCCAUCACUUAAGCAGAAAGAGGAGCAGCACUCAAGAGAGACUUGGCUGGUGAAACCAAAGCAACACGCCUCCGUUCUCCACUUUAGAGUACUUCUUGUACACAGCACGUAGCCUGCUCUCUCCACACCUAGAGUGAUGUAAAGCUAGGAGCUUUGAGCAUUCCCUAUUAACACACAACAAAGAACAAAACUUAUCAGUUUUUGCAAUUAAGAAACAAGAACAGAAACAGAUAUUUGCAAGUCUUCUCUGUUCUUACAUAAUCUCAGACUCUGCAUAUCCUAUGUGAAACUUCAAGGUCUCCGUCCAAGCUGGUGACUUGUUCAGUGAGCAUCUCGCUGUGUAGACAGCUGAAGCAGCAAGCAUGGAGGGACAGAACUUCAAGGUAAUGUUCUUCUUUGCAUUAGUUGGCAAUAUGACUUAUGUAGGAAGGUAAAGAUCGAUUAUCUUUACUUGUUUUGUGUCUAAAGAUUCUUUAGUAGUUUUCUUGAGAUUUUUCUAUGAAAUCCAAUAAUUUCAACUUCUAAAUUUUUUUUUAAAAAAAUUUAAGAACUUCAAAAGGGUUCUGACAUUGGACCUUCACAAAUUUAAUUACAUUACAAGGGGUUCUAAACUUCACAAAUUACAAAAUUUAUAAUUAAACUAAUUAUUAGAACCCAUUAUGGGUUCUAACAAAUGGAGAUGGUCUAAGACCAUGAUUAACCCGAGGUUCUUAAGAUGAAGUUCUUAGCGGAAGUUAAGAAACAGUUUCUUAACUUCCGCUAAGAACCUCGUCUUAAGAACCCCAGGUUAAUCAUGCUCUAAUGUUACUUUGUGUAGACAAGUAAUCCUAUAGAAACCUCAUGAAGAGAAAAUGAAAAAAUCAUCUACUCUCAAACCAUAUCUCCAUGACUUUUUCAUGUCUACUUCCAGCUUGCUUUCUCAACGAAAAGAUCCUAUUUUUGAUCAUUUUAUCCAAAAUGCUAAGAAGACGAGCAGGGGACUCAUGGCCUUCUUCCACUCGGCGAGUGUUUCUCUCAUGCUAAAUAUCAUGGAUUGUCGCUUGGAAACAGUAGCGAAAGAGAAAGGUUUUGGUACUAUCAUGUAGUCCAAUCACCAAUCUUUGCAACAGGAGAGACCAUUGAACCAGCAUACCUACACCUGCCAAAUCCCUAAUCGUUCCAUUUUAGACUUCCUUAGAGAAGGAGUAGUCAAAAAAUAAAUGGUCUCUCGUCUCAGUAGCUGAGUUGCACAGCCAACAAGUAGAGACAGCUUGAGGGUUCCACCUUAGAAUCCUAUUCCCAGUCGAUAUUCUGCUGUGAGCGGCUAACCACGUAAAAAAAAAAAAAUUUAGGAGUGACUUCUUUAAACCAGAUCCUUUUGAACCAUGGAGCACGAGGCGAUUGCGUUCUGGUCAGGUUCCACGUUUGAGAGGACAUGAAACCUUGUCGAAAAAACAUCAUUCUCCCUUUUCCAAAGAAUAGUAUCCUCCUGCUGUCCAAGUCCGAGAGGUUUGAGCCUCAAAAUCUCUCUCUCUUUUAUCAACCAAACCGUUGUUGACGAUGAUGAAAUGAUUCGAUAUUAUUUUUAUGACACCGGUUUCACCCAGCUCCCGAUUAGAGAUCCGGACCCAAAAGUUAUAAAGCCUAAAUUUGGCAACCUUCGGAACCCACGAUAGAUAAAGUCCAUCUCGGACUCAGAAAGCCAAAGAAGUCAAGUUCGGAAAAGUCAACUGAAAACGUCCAUAAAUCAAAUGUAUUAGUCACCAUCAAAACACAUGGUCUACACCAGAAAUCACGCCACCAUAUGAUCCGCCUAAAAACUUAAAAGAAGAAUGAGCCAAAGAAAAGGGACCCGAAUCCUCGAGAGUAAAACUAUAUUCUCAUUACAUACAAUUUCUACUAUCAUCAAGCACCCUUUGUCGUCUUCAAUAUCAUCAGCAAACAUUCACUAAUUUCCAUUGUUGUCAUAUAUAGCUGCUUCUGCGAGAACUGGAGCAAGAAAGUACGAAUCUCCAUGGGAGAAAGCUCUACAACUAAUGCGGAGCUGUCAAUUGGUCCACCCUUUCGCGGAUGAGAUGAAGAUUGAGAUUGUUCGGCUUCACCUUCUACUUUCCACUUCAUCUUCUCCUUCAUCUUAGCCUUCUCUUGAGUCGCUACCAAACUCAUUUCUUUCACUCCUUUGAUCUAUUCACCCCCAAAACAAAUAUACAUUUUUUACAAUUAUUGGAUUCAUAUAACUAAGAUGAGAAAAUGUUUUCCUUACUGUUUUUCCAGGAAACAACUUCUUCAGCUCAACUUUAGCGACUUUCGAGUACUCACUCUCUUCUCCGGCCUGAAAGUAAAGUAAACACCAGUUUGAUCACUCAAGAGUCACUGAUCAUCAUCAUAUUUAUCCAAAAACAAAAGUCUAAAACUGUACCUCGUAGAGAUGAGCGAGGCGGAGAAGAACGUUGCCGAGAUCCAGCUCCUCAAGAGUGAUGAGAGCAACGUUUGGAGGGAAGGCGUAGUGAGGAUCCAUUGCAUUUCCUUUCACAGAAUUGGAGCCUUUCCACUUCUCCUUGUUUUCGUGUGUGAAUGCCAUUACAAGAGGAGUGUAUAUUUCCUGGCCUGUCCCUCGUCUCCACCUCGCUCCUUCUCCUCCUACCGGAUUUAUGCUUACAUAGUACCAUUGAUACACACAGUUUCCUCAAGGCUCUCCUCCACUCCUCUAGAAUCAUCCAUGCACGUACGCCUGUUUUCAUUAUUUCAGCCACAACCAACAUUGUUUCUUGUUUUUUUUUUUUUUGAUAGUUUAAAUUCAAGGCUGUAAUAUGAUUUGGAACCUGUGGAGCAUCAAUUCUAAUUCACCGUCCUUGAUACUACCACCCCCUGUAGCCCUAUCAACCAACACCGACAACUCUACUUUCUUGUCUUUUGUGUACAUUCCCAGAGACAAACACAAGACUGCAUUAUAUGAGAGAUUAUAGAGGAAUUGGACCAAUCUGCUCAAUUAAAAUGAGAGCCUCAAGAAAGGGGAUCUUCCUUCUUUCCAAAUAAUAUGAUUUGGAGUUAAAAGAGUAACACUCACAGUGUACUCAAACUCUGCAUGCUCUUUGUCUUUGUACACUCUUAUCACCUACAUAACACGAGUAUGUACCAACUAACGAUUCUCAUAUAUUUAACUGACAUCAAUUGCCAAUUGCAACUA